Molecule: ribosomal RNA, 497 nt
Filed under: uncultured bacterium
Lineage: Bacteria
Description: partial 16S ribosomal RNA
Rfam family: Bacterial small subunit ribosomal RNA
Source: RNAcentral
GAUGAACGCUGGCGGCGUGCCUAAUACAUGCAAGUCGAGCGAACAGACGAGGAGCUUGCUCCUCUGACGUUAGCGGCGGACGGGUGAGUAACACGUGGAUAGCCUACCUAUAAGACUGGGAUAACUUCGGGAAACCGGAGCUAAUACCGGAUAAUAUAUUGAACCGCAUGGUUCAAUAGUGAAAGACGGUUUUGCUGUCACUUAUAGAUGGAUCCGCGCCGCAUUAGCUAGUUGGUAAGGUAACGGCUUACCAAGGCAACGAUGCGUAGCCGACCUGAGAGGGUGAUCGGCCACACUGGAACUGAGACACGGUCCAGGCUACUACGGGAGGCAGCAGUAGGGAAUCUUCCGCAGUGGGCGAAAGCCUGACGGAGCAACGCCGCGUGAGUGAUGAAGGUCUUCGGAUCGUAAAACUCUGUUAUGAGGGAAGAACAAAUGUGUAAGUAACUAUGCACGUCUUGACGGUACCUAAUCAGAAAGCCACGGCUAACUACGUG